AUUGAACGCUGGCGGCAGGCCUAACACAUGCAAGUCGAGCGGAUGAAGGGAGCUUGCUCCUGGAUUCAGCGGCGGACGGGUGAGUAAUGCCUAGGAAUCUGCCUGGUAGUGGGGGAUAACGUCCGGAAACGGGCGCUAAUACCGCAUACGUCCUGAGGGAGAAAGUGGGGGAGCUUCGGACCUCACGCUAUCAGAUGAGCCUAGGUCGGAUUAGCUAGUUGGUGGGGUAAAGGCCUACCAAGGCGACGAUCCGUAACUGGUCUGAGAGGCUGAUCAGUCACACGGGAACUGAGACACGGUCCAGACUCCUACGGGAGGCAGCAGUGGGGAAUAUUGGACAAUGGGCGAAAGCCUGAUCCAGCCAUGCCGCGUGUGUGAAGAAGGUCUUCGGAUUGUAAAGCACUUUAAGUUGGGAGGAGCGGCAGUAAGUUAAUACCUUGCUGUUUUGACGUUACCAACAGAAUAAGCACCGGCUAACUUCGUG
Molecule: ribosomal RNA, 484 nt
Filed under: uncultured bacterium
Lineage: Bacteria
Description: partial 16S ribosomal RNA
Rfam family: Bacterial small subunit ribosomal RNA
Source: RNAcentral